AUGCAAGUCGAGCGGAACGAGUUAUCUGACCCUUCGGGUGACGAUAACGGCGUCGAGCGGCGGACGGGUGAGUAAUGCCUGGGAAAUUGCCCUGAUGUGGGGGAUAACCAUUGGAAACGAUGGCUAAUACCGCAUAAUAGCUUCGGCUCAAAGAGGGGGACCUUCGGGCCUCUCGCGUCAGGAUAUGCCCAGGUGGGAUUAGCUAGUUGGUGAGGUAAGGGCUCACCAAGGCGACGAUCCCUAGCUGGUCUGAGAGGAUGAUCAGCCACACUGGAACUGAGACACGGUCCAGACUCCUACGGGAGGCAGCAGUGGGGAAUAUUGCACAAUGGGCGCAAGCCUGAUGCAGCCAUGCCGCGUGUAUGAAGAAGGCCUUCGGGUUGUAAAGUACUUUCAGCAGUGAGGAAGGUGGUAGUGUUAAUAGCACUAUUAUUUGACGUUAGCUGCAGAAGAAGCACCGGCUAACUCCGUGCCAGCAGCCGCGGUAAUACGGAGGGUGCGAGCGUUAAUCGGAAUUACUGGGCGUAAAGCGCAUGCAGGUGGAUGAUUAAGUCAGAUGUGAAAGCCCGGGGCUCAACCUCGGAAUAGCAUUUGAAACUGGUCAUCUAGAGUACUGUAGAGGGGGGUAGAAUUUCAGGUGUAGCGGUGAAAUGCGUAGAGAUCUGAAGGAAUACCGGUGGCGAAGGCGGCCCCCUGGACAGAUACUGACACUCAGAUGCGAAAGCGUGGGGAGCAAACAGGAUUAGAUACCCUGGUAGUCCACGCCGUAAACGAUGUCUACUUGGAGGUUGUGGCCUUGAGCCGUGGCUUUCGGAGCUAACGCGUUAAGUAGACCGCCUGGGGAGUACGGUCGCAAGAUUAAAACUCAAAUGAAUUGACGGGGGCCCGCACAAGCGGUGGAGCAUGUGGUUUAAUUCGAUGCAACGCGAAGAACCUUACCUACUCUUGACAUCCAUAGAACUUUCCAGAGAUGGAUUGGUGCCUUCGGGAACUAUGAGACA
Molecule: ribosomal RNA, 1001 nt
Filed under: bacterium M1(2011)
Lineage: Bacteria
Description: bacterial SSU rRNA
Rfam family: Bacterial small subunit ribosomal RNA
Source: RNAcentral